This is a non-coding RNA of Mumia flava, 117 nucleotides long. The record is from Rfam. Lineage: Bacteria; Bacillati; Actinomycetota; Actinomycetes; Propionibacteriales; Nocardioidaceae.
UACGGCGGCCAUGGCGAAGGGGAAACACCCGGUAACAUUCCGAACCCGGAAGUUAAGCCCUUCAGCGCCGAUGGUACUGCACGGGAGACUGUGUGGGAGAGUAGGACGCCGCCGGAC